UACAGAGGUGGCAAGCGUUGUUCGGAUUUACUGGGCGUAAAGGGUGCGUAGGCGGUUUUGUGUGUCGGAUGUGAAAUCCCACGGAUUAUCCGUGGAACUGCAUUCGAAACUGCAGAGCUGGAGUGCAGGAGAGGAAAGUGGAAUUCUCGGUGUAGCGGUGAAAUGCGUUGAUAUCGAGAGGAACGCCGGAGGCGAAGGCGACUUUCUGGACUGCAACUGACGCUGAGGCACGAAAGCUAGGGGAGCAAACAGG
Molecule: ribosomal RNA, 253 nt
Filed under: uncultured bacterium
Lineage: Bacteria
Description: partial 16S ribosomal RNA
Rfam family: Bacterial small subunit ribosomal RNA
Source: RNAcentral